Molecule: ribosomal RNA, 197 nt
Filed under: uncultured bacterium
Lineage: Bacteria
Description: partial 16S ribosomal RNA
Rfam family: Bacterial small subunit ribosomal RNA
Source: RNAcentral
ACUCCUACGGGAGGCAGCAGUAGGGAAUCUUCCACAAUGGGCGAAAGCCUGAUGGAGCAACGCCGCGUGAGUGAAGAAGGAUUUCGGUUCGUAAAACUCUGUUGUAAGGGAAGAACAAGUAGCGUAGUAACUGGCGCUACCUUGACGGUACCUUAUUAGAAAGCCACGGCUAACUACGUGCCAGCAGCCGCGGUAAU